GUACUCAGUCAGCAGCACAUACACUGAAAUUGGAACAAUACAGAGAAAGAUUAGCAUGGCCCCUGCACAAGGAUGACACGCGUUCAUGAAUUGUUGUUCCAUAUUUUU
Molecule: non-coding RNA, 108 nt
Organism: Otolemur garnettii (small-eared galago)
Lineage: Eukaryota; Metazoa; Chordata; Mammalia; Primates; Galagidae
Source: Rfam